AUUCCAGCUCCAAUAGCGUAUAUUAAAGUUGUUGCAGUUAAAAAGCUCGUAGUUGGAGUUCGGGGAAAGCUCAGUCGGUCGGCCUAAUGGGUCAGAACUGGCUGACUCUCUCUUGUUUGCGGAUCCCUCCCGGAGUUAACUCUUCAGGUUGUGGAGUCCGCAUCGUUUACCUUGAAAAAAUUAGAGUGUUCAAAGCAGGCGUUUGCUUGAAUAUAUUAGCAUGGAAUAAUGGAAUAGGACCCUGGUUCUAUUUUGUUGGUUUUGAGAGCCAGAGUAAUGAUUAAUAGGGAUAGUUGGGGGCAUUCAUAUUUCAUUGUCAGAGGUGAAAUUCUUGGAUUUAUGAAAGAUGAACUUCUGCGAAAGCAUUUGCCAAGGAUGUUUUCAUUG
This 387-nucleotide ribosomal RNA is filed under the name Telonemia sp. RNAcentral's name for it is "partial small subunit ribosomal RNA". It matches the Rfam family "Eukaryotic small subunit ribosomal RNA", at positions 582 to 975 of the family's 1831-position model. The record is from RNAcentral. Lineage: Eukaryota; Telonemia.